This 505-nucleotide ribosomal RNA is filed under the name uncultured bacterium. Its description in RNAcentral is "partial 16S ribosomal RNA". It matches the Rfam family "Bacterial small subunit ribosomal RNA", at positions 28 to 507 of the family's 1533-position model. The record is from RNAcentral.
GACGAACGCUGGCGGCGUGCCUAAUACAUGCAAGUAGAACGCACAGUUUAUACCGUAGCUUGCUACACCAUAGACUGUGAGUUGCGAACGGGUGAGUAACGCGUAGGUAACCUGCCUGGUAGCGGGGGAUAACUAUUGGAAACGAUAGCUAAUACCGCAUAAUAUUGAUUAUUGCAUGAUAAUUGAUUGAAAGAUGCUAUUGCAUCACUACCAGAUGGACCUGCGUUGUAUUAGCUAGUAGGUGAGGUAACGGCUCACCUAGGCGACGAUACAUAGCCGACCUGAGAGGGUGAUCGGCCACACUGGGACUGAGACACGGCCCAGACUCCUACGGGGGGCAGCAGUAGGGAAUCUUCGGCAAUGGACGAAAGUCUGACCGAGCAACGCCGCGGGAGUGAAGAAGGUUUUCGGAUCGUAAAGCCCUGUUGUAAGAGAAGAACGGGUGUGAGAGUGGAAAGUUCACACUGUGACGGUAUCUUACCAGAAAGGGACGGCUAACUACGUG